GCUCACCACCUCUAAGGAGGAGCACUGACUGAAGACAGGAAUGAUUUCGGCAUGUCUAGGAGAGUCAGAGAAAAGACGGGAGGGAAAUGGGGGAGAAAGAAAAACGUGAGAGAACCUUCUACUUCCUGAAAGGCACCAUGACUCUGGAAUGUUACCUGUAAUUAAGAAUGUCAGAAGAACCGAGCCUCCAUUCUAAAGUUUCUGUGGUGAAGUCAUCUGUAUUUCCUAGGAAACUUGAAGAGGAACAAACUGAAACUUGACAAAACUCAGAAGAGACUUACAAGAAUCAGAAAUGCACACAUGGUGCCAUAUUUGGAAGUCAUGAAGAAAAACUGAACAGCAUUACCGAGGAAAAACUUCUUACUCCUAAAUAUGCAACACUGUCAGUAAGAAGCACAUUAAGGCUAAGGGUUACUAAUAAUAUUUAAAUAAAUGUGGCCAUUAUGCUUCUAGGGAAUUAAA
RNAcentral lists this small RNA (462 nucleotides) under Pan troglodytes (chimpanzee). RNAcentral describes it as "processed transcript". The record is from RNAcentral. Lineage: Eukaryota; Metazoa; Chordata; Mammalia; Primates; Hominidae.